Molecule: long non-coding RNA, 1288 nt
Organism: Episyrphus balteatus (marmalade hoverfly)
Lineage: Eukaryota; Metazoa; Arthropoda; Insecta; Diptera; Syrphidae
Exons: 2
Source: RefSeq, a predicted model, not a curated record
AAACAUAAAUCAGUUUAAGCAAAUAAACGAGGUUGUUUCGUAUUGUAUUAAAAUACUUUGAAAUAUGUAUUAAAAUACUUUAAAAUAAUGUGAAAUAUGGCCAUAUUGUAUGAACUUGAUCCUAACCUACUCUUGCAUUAUGCGGUUCAAGAAAAUAGUAAAUAUAUGCCACAAUGCAUGUGGAAAACAUUCAAAUAAUGUAAACUACAACUUUGGCCUAGAUGUUAUUACAAAAAGCACCCAAAUAAAAAUUAAAUAAACACUUCUAUAACUGAAGAAAAUCUUCCUGACGUUAAUAAAAACAAAAUCCUUUCAGAUAUAUGUACAUAAGAAUCAAACAUUCAAAAAUAAAUAUUCAAUUCAAAAUAUUACAAAAAUUUAAAAUAAAUUCAAUUUCAAUAUUACAGAAACAAAAAUAAACAAACACACUACUAGCACAAAACAAAACUAAUACAAAUACACCAAAUAAAAAUAAUAUUGUACAUGUGGUUACCAUUGAAUAAGAAGUACAGGAAGGGGUGUUUAUCCAAAUAAGUGAAGCCGCUUUUUAUUAGUACUGAAAAUUGUUUUAAAAUCAUCAAGAUUAGCUGAAACAUUGGCGGUCAAUGAUUGUAUCGCCUUGUCAUCACCAAUAAGAGUAAGUUCGCCCAUGGAAAAAGAGCUCGAAAUUUGACAGAUUAUAUAAAAUUUUUGACAGUUUAUAUAAAAUUUAUUUUUUUUUUUAUUUUUUUGUGGCUUCACUCGCCAACUGUAUAGGUGUGAUAUACACCCCUUCCUGUACUUCUUAUUCAAUGGUGGUUACUUAGUAACCAAAAGUCCUUUUCAGGGAUUUUUCGGCUAUCGAAUACACAAUCCUAAAACGAUUGUGGCGCCACUCCUCAAACGAUUGUGGCGCCACUCCUCAAACGAUUGUGGCUCCACCCCUCAAACAUAGCGGACGUUUUUUCCGGUGUCACUUCUAUAUAUAAUUAUUCAAUGGUACUAUUUUUUCUCAAGAAUUAAACUAAAUUUAAGUCUGUUCGUUAAAAAAAAGUAUAAAAAUGAUUAUUAAAAUCACAUUACAAUCUACUACAAAUUUUAUACCAUUAUUUCAGCUAAGAAUACACUGGUUAACAAAAUUUAACCUUUUUUUUGCCACAAGAACCAAAACAUACUUUUCUAGUAGUUUUUGGGGUGCUGAAUCCGAAUCUGAAGUCAGAAAAAUUUGAUUGGCCUUUGUUUUUGAAAUAUUACCGUUAGAAAAUGUCAAAAAACGUAAUUUUGGCUGUUUUCGAGGUUCUGUUUUUAU